CCGCACAAGCGGUGGAGCAUGUGGUUUAAUUCGACGCAACGCGAAGAACCUUACCUGGGCUUGACAUCCCCUGACCGCGUAUGAAAGUACGUUUUCACCCUCGGGUGACAGGGAGACAGGUGGUGCAUGGUUGUCGUCAGCUCGUGUCGUGAGAUGUUGGGUUAAGUCCCGCAACGAGCGCAACCCCUACGUUUAGUUGCUAACGCGUGAAGGCGAGCACUCUAGACGAACUGCCGUUGACAAAACGGAGGAAGGUGGGAUGACGUCAAAUCAUCAUGCCCCUUAUGUUCUGGGCUACACACGUGCUACAAUGGCCGGUACAGACGGACGCAAAGCCGCGAGGUGGAGCAAAUCCUAAAAAGCCGGUCUCAGUUCGGAUUGCAGGCUGCAAUUCGCCUGCAUGAAGUCGGAAUCGCUAGUAAUCGCAGGUCAGCAUACUGCGGUGAAUACGUUCCCGGGCCUU
This 463-nucleotide ribosomal RNA is filed under the name uncultured Pelotomaculum sp. Its description in RNAcentral is "bacterial SSU rRNA". It matches the Rfam family "Bacterial small subunit ribosomal RNA", at positions 921 to 1382 of the family's 1533-position model. Lineage: Bacteria; Bacillati; Bacillota; Clostridia; Eubacteriales; Desulfotomaculaceae. The record is from RNAcentral.